Non-coding RNA from Phrynosoma platyrhinos (Desert horned lizard), 73 nucleotides. The record is from the annotation of a GenBank genome assembly. NCBI's taxonomy places the organism in Eukaryota, Metazoa, Chordata, Lepidosauria, Squamata, Phrynosomatidae.
GCCAGUGUGGCAUAGUGGUUUGAGUGUCAGACUAGGAAUCCAGGAGAUCAGGGUUCGAAUCCCUGCUCAGCCA